This 653-nucleotide long non-coding RNA is filed under the name Rattus norvegicus (Norway rat). Its description in RNAcentral is "long non-coding RNA NONRATT012080". Lineage: Eukaryota; Metazoa; Chordata; Mammalia; Rodentia; Muridae. The record is from RNAcentral.
CCCCCAACCAAACUUUUGGAAACUACCAGUAGUUAUCUUGGAAAAUAGGCUCGGAGGCACGAAUUGUAAAGAUAUUCUACUUUAAAAACAUUCUGUAGCAAUACUCAAAACUCGUGGUUGGUGGGUUAGCACUGUGUUCUCCCUGGGGCAGAGUCCAGGCUUCCUGUGAAUGUGUAAAUUACAGAACUCUCGGUUCCCAAAGCUAGAACCUGUUUUUCUUGUUAGCCUUCGUGUAACCAGAUGCUCUGUUGUACCUUCAUAGCUGGAAGUGUUUCAAGAUGAGCUUCAGAAGCAAACCUGAAGCUUCAUCUUCACAAUGGCAUGCUGACUGCUCUGACCUGGCACUGCGGGUCCUAAGCACAUAUGUGGAAUCCCUGUUGGCCCUAGUCCCCGCGCCCCUGCCCCCCUUGCCCCGUGAGGACUCCACUUUAUAGCCUAAACCUUUUAUACAAAAGCUUUGGAUACUGUGAAGAUGUUUUACAUUCCAUUUCGUUCGUGUUGUUUUUUUUUUUUAACUACAUUUGACCAGAUGUUUUGAUGUUAUCACUUAUGUUAAUAGUAAUUCCCAGAUGUGUUUUGUUCUCAUUGCUUUCCCUGCCGUGUAUUCACUAAAAUCACUCGAUCAAUAACAGUGUGAGUUGUGAUUGGCCCAA